This 387-nucleotide ribosomal RNA is filed under the name uncultured Pseudomonas sp. Its description in RNAcentral is "bacterial SSU rRNA". It matches the Rfam family "Bacterial small subunit ribosomal RNA", at positions 1000 to 1382 of the family's 1533-position model. Lineage: Bacteria; Pseudomonadati; Pseudomonadota; Gammaproteobacteria; Pseudomonadales; Pseudomonadaceae. The record is from RNAcentral.
CCAGAGAUGGAUUGGUGCCGUUCGGGAACUCUGACACAGGUGCUGCAUGGCUGUCGUCAGCUCGUGUUGUGAGAUGGUUGGGUUAACGUCCCGUAACGAGCGCCAACCCUUGUCCUUAGUUACCAGCACGUUAUGGUGGGCACUCUAAGGAGACUGCCGGUGACAAACCGGAGGAAGGUGGGGAUGACGUCAAGUCAUCAUGGCCCUUACGGCCUGGGCUACACACGUGCUACAAUGGUCGGUACAAAGGGUUGCCAAGCCGCGAGGUGGAGCUAAUCCCAUAAAACCGAUCGUAGUCCGGAUCGCAGUCUGCAACUCGACUGCGUGAAGUCGGAAUCGCUAGUAAUCGUGAAUCAGAAUGUCACGGUGAAUACGUUCCCGGGCCUU